RNAcentral lists this ribosomal RNA (426 nucleotides) under uncultured bacterium. RNAcentral's name for it is "bacterial SSU rRNA". It matches the Rfam family "Bacterial small subunit ribosomal RNA", at positions 34 to 456 of the family's 1533-position model. The record is from RNAcentral.
GAAUUCACUAGUGAUUCAGGCCUAACACAUGCAAGUCGAACGGAAAGGCCCUGCUUGCAGGGUACUCGAGUGGCGAACGGGUGAGUAACACGUGGGUGAUCUGCCCUGCACUUCGGGAUAAGCCUGGGAAACUGGGUCUAAUACCGGAUAGGACCAUCGUUUAGUGUCGGUGGUGGAAAGUUUUUCGGUGCAGGAUGAGCUCGCGGCCUAUCAGCUUGUUGGUGGGGUAAUGGCCUACCCAGGCGUCGACGGGUAGCCGGCCUGAGAGGGUGGACGGCCACAUUGGGACUGAGACACGGCCCAGACUCCUACGGGAGGCAGCAGUGGGGAAUAUUGCACAAAAGGGGCAAGCCUGAUGCAGCGACGCCGCGUGGGGGAUUUAAACGGUCGGGUUGUAAACUCCUUUCAACCAUGACGAAGCAUUAU